GAUGAACGCUGGCGGCGUGCUUAACACAUGCAAGUCGAACGAAGCAUUUGCGACAGAUUUUUUCGGAAUGAAGUUGCUUAUGACUGAGUGGCGGACGGGUGAGUAACGCGUGGGUAACCUGCCUUGUACUGGGGGAUAGCAUCUGGAAACGGCUGGUAAUACCGCAUAAGCGCACAAUGUUGCAUGACAUGGUGUGAAAAACUCCGGUGGUAUAAGAUGGACCCGCGUCUGAUUAGCUAGUUGGUGAGAUAACAGCCCACCAAGGCGACGAUCAGUAGCCGACCUGAGAGGGUGACCGGCCACAUUGGGACUGAGACACGGCCCAGACUCCUACGGGAGGCAGCAGUGAGGAAUAUUGCACAAUGGAGGAAACUCUGAUGCAGCGACGCCGCGUGAGUGAAGAAGUAAUUCGUUAUGUAAAGCUCUAUCAGCAGGGAAGAUAGUGACGGUACCUGACUAAGAAGCUCCGGCUAAAUACGUG
This 481-nucleotide ribosomal RNA is filed under the name uncultured bacterium. RNAcentral's name for it is "partial 16S ribosomal RNA". It matches the Rfam family "Bacterial small subunit ribosomal RNA", at positions 28 to 507 of the family's 1533-position model. The record is from RNAcentral.